Onychostoma macrolepis is the source of this 802-nucleotide long non-coding RNA. RefSeq lists it as uncharacterized. The record is from RefSeq and is a predicted model, not a curated record. The transcript has 3 exons. NCBI's taxonomy places the organism in Eukaryota, Metazoa, Chordata, Actinopteri, Cypriniformes, Cyprinidae.
UUCUCAGCACAGUAUCAGUGGACAGAACGAUCAUCUAGGAUCUUAAAUGUCAUUGUUGGAGAACCAUUCAUAUACACUGCGAAGUAUGAUUCAGUCAUUUCCAAGGAUCACCUGUGCACAGAACUGUCACAUUGGCUGUAUGAAUGGACCUAUACUUGGACAGUCCUGCCUGGGUUAUUAGGCUACUACUCUUGGGAGUACAGAAGGCCGCAGUGGAGCCAAAGUGUUGGAGGGUCCAGAUGCAGCCAAAGGCCCAGAAGUCAAUGUUGGAGCCAGAGGGACGACAGACCAAGGUGGAGCCGUAGAGACAAUGAACCCCAGCAGAGCCAGAGGGAUUAACAAACCAUCAUCUCAUUCAUUAUGGAAUACCUCAGUGGAGCCAAAGGGUUAGAGGGUCCAGACACAGCCAAAGGUCCAGAAGUUCAUGUUGGAGCCAGGGUGGAGCCAUAGAGACGAGGAACCCCUGCAGAGCCAGAGGGAUUGAGGAACCAUCCCUUUUGUGUUUCCUACACCUGCGCACAUUUUCAAAAAUUUGUUCUUUUUAUUUUCUCUUUCUUUUUCCAUUAAAAUACCUUCAAAAUUAUAUAUGACUUGUUGGAAUCGGACAAAAAAUGACUGAGCUACAGCUGUUUGAAGGCAAUAGAGGCAGCAGAUCUGAUUUUGAGAAAAAUCGAGUUAAAGAUUCCAAAGCAGAAUCACCAAGCAACGUUGCAUAUUUUCCUCCAAUUCUUUUCUUAAUAAUAAUUACUAUAUUAUUAUUAUUAUUAUACACAAUAUAGCUAUUUUUAUUUUAUCUUUGUUA